RNAcentral lists this ribosomal RNA (257 nucleotides) under uncultured bacterium. Its description in RNAcentral is "partial 16S ribosomal RNA". It matches the Rfam family "Bacterial small subunit ribosomal RNA", at positions 524 to 776 of the family's 1533-position model. The record is from RNAcentral.
GACGUAGGGCGCGAGCGUUGUCCGGAUUUAUUGGGCGUAAAGAGCUCGUAGGCGGCUCGUUGCGUCGGCUGUGAAAACCCGCGGCUCACCGUGGGCUUGCAGCUGAUACGGGCGGGCUGGAGUUCGGUAGGGGAGACUGGAAUUCCUGAUGUGUAGGCGGUGAAAAUGCGCAGAUAAUCAGGAGGAACACCGGUGGCGAAGGCGGGUCUCUGGGCCGAUACUGACGCUGAGGAGCGAAAGCGUGGGGAGCGAACAGG